This 440-nucleotide ribosomal RNA is filed under the name uncultured bacterium. RNAcentral describes it as "partial 16S ribosomal RNA". It matches the Rfam family "Bacterial small subunit ribosomal RNA", at positions 338 to 795 of the family's 1533-position model. The record is from RNAcentral.
CCUACGGGAGGCUGCAGUGGGGGAUAUUGCACAAUGGGGGAAACCCUGAUGCAGCGACGCCGCGUGUGGGAAGACGGUCCUCUGGAUUGUAAACCACUGUCCCCAGGGACGAAGAUGACGGUACCUGGGGACGAAGCUCCGGCUAACUACGUGCCAGCAGCCGCGGUACUACGUAGGGAGCGAGCGUUGUCCGGAAUUACUGGGUGUAAAGGGAGCGUAGGCGGGACGGCAAGAUGGGUGUCAAAUCUACCGGCUCAACCGGUAGCCGCACUCAAAACUGCAGUUCUUGAGUGAAGUAGAGGCAGGCGGAAUUCCUGGUGUAGCGGUGAAAUGCGUAGAUAUUAGGAGGAACACCAGUGGCGAAGGCGGCCUGCUGGGCAGUGACUGACGCUGAGGCUCGAAGGUGUGGGGAGCGAACAGGAUUAGAUACCCUGGUAGUC